AAUCAAAUAGUCCUUCAGAGUCCCUCCCGUCCUCCCUCCCUCCUUCUUCCUCUCUCUCCCCCAUCUCUCCUCUUUUAAACAGAGAUGAGGUCUCUAUGUUGCCCAGGCUGGUCUCAAGCUACUGAGCUCAAGCACUCCACCCACCUCUGCCUCCCAAAGUGCUGGGAGUACAAGCAUGAGCCACUGUACUGGGCCCAGACCUUUUUCUGAAACUUCCCUUUAUUUUUUGUGUCCUUCCCAUGGAUGCUGGGCUCCAUACCCACACUCCAACACUGCGCCCAACCUGAGAUCUCUCUACACAGUAGGAACUGAUGUUUCCGAGACCAGCUCUGAGACACCACCCGCCCUGGCCACUGGCACCCCCCGUUUCUGUCAGCUCCUCCCAGCUUAACACACAGUCACCACCUCAUACAUGCACUUUUCCUUAUAUAUAGAACACUGUAAAUUACACAUUUAAUAUAUUCAUAUGUUUAAGUCAGUGUGAGAACAAAUAAAGCAUAUUUUGACCUCUAUGACAGGGGGCUGGCUCUGUCUCAUAGUAGGCACUCAAAAAUUUUUAGGAAGAAAUAAGGACUCCUGGGCCUGAAGGGAUCUUAGGGAAUCCUAUCAUCCUACAGUCCUCGGGAAACACUCCCUGCAACUGCAUAGGCUUUGGAGACAGACUUGGAUUCAAACCAGCAUCAGCUCACCUAGUCAGGUGUGGUGGUGGGAGCCUGUAAUCUCAGCUACGCUAGAGGCUGAGGCAGGAGAAUUGAUUGAACCGAGGAGGCAGAGGAUGCAGUGAGCUGAGACUGCGCCACUGCAUUCCAGCCUGAGCGAGACUCCAUCUGAAUGAAUGAAUGAAUGAAUGAAUGAAUGAAUGAACUGGAACCAAAACUAGAACCAGGUCACCCGGCUCCUCAUGCCAUGUUCACUCCAUGGAUCACAUUGCCUCAAAGGCAAAGUCAAACAGCCCGUUGUGUUAGCAGGCCUCCCACUGACAGCUCUUUAGAGAUAGGCAAUUUGGGCCACCUGAGGAGGUUAUGAGGCCAGGACAGGAGAUCCGGGCAGUAGCAGGUAUGUUCAUUGUUAACUUGUGAAACACAACUAAGCUGCAAAGACUACACUUUGGACUCCACACUGACCAAUCUCACACGAGAUCUCUGUUUCUGGUGGGGACUGGGCAAUGCGGCAGAGUCAUGAGGCAUGAGUAUGGGAAGUCAGCUCUCACUAGCUCUGAGGCCUUGGCCGACUGCUGGCACCUUCUGAAAUGUAAGAUGGGGCCGAGCCUGUGGCUCACACUUGUCAUCCUAGCACUUUGGGGGGCAGAGGUGGGAGGAUCACUUGAGGCCAGGAGUUCAAGGCUACAGCAAGUUAUGAUCAUGCCGCUGCACUCCAGCCUGGUCAACAGAGCACGACCCUGUCUCAAAAAAAGUCAUAAUAAGAUGGCCCAUAGAGGCUCUGCUUUAAACACAAACACUUCAAUCACUUAUUACUUGUAUUGGCGAUGGUGAUGGGAACAACAUCCAGGCAGACUGUAGGAUAACACCUAAGGAUGUUAGUGUCUCUAGGAGUCAUCAAUUGGAACAUUCCUUCAUUCAAACUUUGAACAUUAGGGUGGGGUAGACUGAGACUCAGUCCAAGGAAAACAACUGACUGCCAUUCAGACCUGGCUCAGCCUAAGAAAAAAGUACGCUUUAGACUGCAGUAAGAGGAAUUGUGGUGAGAAGGGCCAUGUCACUCCCUCCCUUUUUCCUCCUUCCCCAUGAAGGUCAAUGAGAAACUGUAAAUAGCAAGGAUGAGGGAAAGUGAGGAGGCCAGGGAGGCCAUUGCAUUCAUCUGUGUUCUAAAAUAUCCAACUCAGCCACAUGCGGUGGCUCACGCCUGCAAUCUCAGCACUUUGGGAGGCCAAGGCAGGUGGAUCACUUGAGGUCAGGAGUUUGAGACCAGCCUGGCCACCACAGUAAAACCUCCAUCUCUACUAAAAAUACAAAAAUUAGCUGGGCGUGGUGACGCAUGCCUGUAGUCCCAGCUAUUAUGCUUGGGAGGCUGAGGCAGGAGAAUCGCUUGAACCCAGGGGUGGAGGCUGCAGUUGAGCCAAGAUUGUGCCACCGCACUCCAGCCUGGGUGACAGAGCAAGACUCUCUGUCAAAAAAAAAAAAAAAUCCAACUCAAUUCCAGGUCAUGCUUUGGGUCUGUCCAGGAGUAUGAACACUAGAGGAAUACAGAGCCUGACCUGGCUCUCAACUGUCGAGGCCUGGAGGUCCAGGAGGGUUGACCGCCCUUUAACACAUGUACCCCUCACAUACUAAUACAGAAAUGCUGUUACAUUCUAUGAUCUUCAUCCCCUAAACGACCUUAUUUCCAACUUCCUCUAGCACCUACCCAUCAGACCCCCAGGAUGAGAUGAAGUAAGAGGCUGAAAACAAGCAAGAUGACGAACAUGAGCAUAGCAGAACCAGAACGCAAGUCAUGGCUGGGGGGUGGCAAAAGGAACUGAAUACGGAACAGAAACCCUUAACUUCUCUUGCUGCUGCCCAAUCCUCUUGUGAUUCCAGACAGCCAUUUCAUUUAAAAUCCCUUUCAGAAGCCUGUCAUCUUGCAUUAGAGCUGGGAGGGGGGUUGUGUUCUGGGUUGGCUGAUGAUACAUGGACUUCUGAGACAUGCACCUAGGCGGACUCAACAAAUAUUAAACAUCUGCUCGGUCAGACCCUCUGCUCAACUCUGCACACACAAAAGACAAUGAGAUGCAGAAUGGUGGGUGCCAGGGGCUGGAAGGUGGAGGGUUCAGAGAGUCAGUGUUUAAUGGGUACAGAGCUUCAUUUGGGGAGGAUGAAGAAGUUCUGGAGAUGGAUAGUGGUUACAGUUGCACAACAAUGUGAAUGCACUUAAUGCCACAGAAGUGUACGCUGAAAAAUGGUUAUAAUGGUAAGUCUUACAUAUACUUAAUCACAUUAAAAAACAACAACAAC
RNAcentral lists this long non-coding RNA (2951 nucleotides) under Homo sapiens (human). RNAcentral describes it as "non-protein coding lnc-CHRNE-4:1". The record is from RNAcentral. Lineage: Eukaryota; Metazoa; Chordata; Mammalia; Primates; Hominidae.